UGACUGUCAUUAGUGUUCUCUUGUAGGAGUUUACUUUUUGGUGAGAAAAACCAAUUUUGUAUUCAUUUUUGGGUGUGGUCCACAAAAACAAGACUUUAUUUCUUUAGGAGCAGGAGUUUACUUUUUGGUGAGAAAAACCAAUUUUGUAUUCAUUUUUGGGUGUGGUCCACAAAAACAAGACUUUAUUUCUUUAGGAGCAGGUAAGUGUCGUUGGCCUGUGUUGGAGCUUGUUUGUUGGAAGUGUCUGUAUGCUGUUUUUGACUGUCAUUUGUGUUCUCUUGUAGGAGUUUACUUUUUGGUGAGAAAAACCAAUUUUGUAUUCAUUUUUGGGUGUGGUCCACAAAAACAAGACUUUAUUUCUUUAGGAGCAGGAGUUUACUUUUUGGUGAGAAAAACCAAUUUUGUAUUCAUUUUUGGGUGUGGUCCACAAAAACAAGACUUUAUUUCUUUAGGAGCAGGUAAGUGUCCUUGGCCUGUGUUGGUGCUUGUUUGUGUUUGUUAAAAUUUUAAUUUUUUUUUUUUUUAAAGUUUGCUAAACAAAGUGUUUGGGUUUUCCAGGAUUGAUCUGCAAAGUAGUGUUUGUCUUUCCUGGACUAGGUACUAAAUUUCUUAU
Pseudophryne corroboree (corroboree frog) is the source of this 613-nucleotide long non-coding RNA. RefSeq lists it as uncharacterized. The transcript has 3 exons. The record is from RefSeq and is a predicted model, not a curated record. NCBI's taxonomy places the organism in Eukaryota, Metazoa, Chordata, Amphibia, Anura, Myobatrachidae.